UUGACAGAUUUUACGGGCACAUCGAUUGGUUUUUGACCUAGUCAGGUCAGGGAUUCGAACCAGCAAUCUCUCAGUUCCUGGUCCAGCGCUCUUAGCUGCUAGGCUACCUACCGCCCAAGACAAGAUGCAUUUGACAGUGAAAAAGGAUGCAAGCAUUCAACAAACACCCAUUUUACCUCGUCCUCGCUCACUCUCCUUUGCAUCUUGUUCGUCUCCUCCUCAGUCAAGUUCCUGUGUUUCCCACCCAACCUGACAGAUAUUGUGCAGCCAUGUGGCAUUAAAGGGAACUGCAGUGUCCUAAUGCCAGUCCUGCUGCCCAAGCAACCCAACAACCAGACAGGCAACGCCAGUGCAGGUUGCCUAGGUCCAGUUGGUGCUGGUCGGAAGGCUUGGAGGAUUGUCGGGGGAUGUUAGCAGAGGACAAGUGGGGCUGGCAGAGCAGUUUACACUGGAGAGGGAAUUGUGUGUGGGUGGGGGGGGUCCCUCAUCACCCCACGUUGGAUCAUUACUGCAGCCCACUGCUUCAUCCAGUAAGGGGGAGGGAGAGAGAAAAAAUGCUUUAUUUUUUAUUCCGAUGUCCAUAUUAUGACUUCCUCAACAACUCCUUUAGACUCUGAGGCUGUCUUAAUAUGGAAACUGUGCUUAUUAUAUUAGAUAAUAUGUGCCUUCUAUUUCCCUGCAUUCUCCAUACCCCAGGUACAACAUGUUGCAGGAGUCAGAGUGGCAGGUGGUUUUGGACACGCUCAGUUUGACGGACAAAUCAGCGGGCCAACGCUGCAGAGCACUGGAGAUCUUCUAUCACCCCAGCUUCUCCAUAAACAACAACGACUAUGACCUUGGGCUACUGUGCACCGUGGCUGACAUGGGCGGUGGGGUUCGACCAGUGUGUAUGCCCAGUCCUAGAGUCCUUCCUUCCUGGUGCCCCCUGUUGGAUCACUGGCUGGGGCUACACUAAAGAGGGGGGGAGACAGUGGAGGCCCGCUGGUGUGUGAGACAGGGGAGGGGGACUGGAGGCUGGCUGGGAUAGUGAGCUGGGGAGAUGGCUGUGGUCGGCCCAACAAACCAGGAGUCUACACCAGGGUCACCCAGCUGUACCAGUCACACAGAACUGGGUCAGUGCUUCUCUGAAUGUGAAAAUGCACCACUCCAUGUUAUGAUUUUGACUCUUUUACAGGUGGACACAUUUGAAGAAUCUGGAACCCCGAAAACAAUGAAUUGUAACUCUGACAGCUAUAUUUUAUUAGCAGCAAUAUGACCACUUACAUUUCUGCAAAAUAUUAAAGUUUGAUGUACUUUUGCUUCACAUUCCAUUUUUGUAUGAAAUAAAAAUGUC
Long non-coding RNA from Oncorhynchus keta (chum salmon), 1333 nucleotides. RefSeq lists it as uncharacterized. The transcript has 4 exons. The record is from RefSeq and is a predicted model, not a curated record. Lineage: Eukaryota; Metazoa; Chordata; Actinopteri; Salmoniformes; Salmonidae.